This 334-nucleotide ribosomal RNA is filed under the name uncultured eukaryote. RNAcentral describes it as "partial 18S ribosomal RNA". It matches the Rfam family "Eukaryotic small subunit ribosomal RNA", at positions 1470 to 1796 of the family's 1831-position model. The record is from RNAcentral.
CCCUUAGAUGUCCGGGGCCGCACGCGCGCUACACUGAAGGAUUCAGCGUGGCUUUCUCCCUGACCCGAAAGGGUUGGGAAACCCGUUGAAUCUCCUUCGUGAUAGGGAUUGGGGCUUGAAAUUGUUCCCCAUGAACGAGGAAUUCCCAGUAAGCGCGAGUCAUAAGCUCGCGUUGAUUACGUCCCUGCCCUUUGUACACACCGCCCGUCGCUACUACCGAUUGAACGGUUUAGUGAGGGCCUCGGAUUGGUCUCGGCCCGCUCUUUACCGGGCGGCGCCGUUGGUCGAGAAGACGCUCGAACUUGAUCGUUUAGAGGAAGUAAAAGUCGUAACA